AGAUGAACCGGAUUAUGCAGUCGAUCACUCAGAUUCGCAGGGGCAUUUCCAGUAUGUAUCCAACAAUCUUCUCGAGAUCCUGGCCGAUGUGAUCCGUACACCAAAGGAUGUAAUAUCCUUUGGUUACCAGCUUGGCUUCUCUUAUUCCUCCAUGAAGAAAUACUCUAGGUCAGGCUUUGGUGAGAUGCUACGCGACUGGAGACGGCAGGUUCGACCUAGUGAGCAGGUAGUUGAACUUCGAAGGGCAUUGCAAAAUGCUGGGUUAGGCGUUGCAGCUGAGGUAACCUUACAUUAACGAGAAGCAUUACACAAGUCUGACAAGCAUGGAAAUCAAAUGAGUAAGGAACCUUGUCAUUGAGAUGUUUAUUAUCACCCCACAACUAAGAAGGGAUUCACUUAAUUUAUGCAUUCAGCUGGGAAGCCUAUGUCUUGACAAACAUGCAUCAUAAGUCUGCAUGAUUCUCAGCCUGAAUCUAGAACUUGCUGUUUCUUCCAUACCCAAUGCUGCUUGGAGUCAUAUAGUUGGAGCUA
Strongylocentrotus purpuratus (purple sea urchin) is the source of this 531-nucleotide long non-coding RNA. RefSeq lists it as uncharacterized. NCBI's taxonomy places the organism in Eukaryota, Metazoa, Echinodermata, Echinoidea, Camarodonta, Strongylocentrotidae. The record is from RefSeq and is a predicted model, not a curated record. The transcript is spliced from 3 exons.